Long non-coding RNA from Etheostoma spectabile (orangethroat darter), 1349 nucleotides. RefSeq lists it as uncharacterized. The record is from RefSeq and is a predicted model, not a curated record. NCBI's taxonomy places the organism in Eukaryota, Metazoa, Chordata, Actinopteri, Perciformes, Percidae. The transcript is spliced from 3 exons.
UGUAGUUUAUAGAUGGAUUAUUCAUCACACUGACAAAAUAAUAUCUUUGCUUCUCUUUGUCCCCUAAACUAUCAGGUUUAGAUGUUUUGGCAGAAAAUACCACAAGAUGCCAGGACCUUCCCAUAGUACUGGAUUUAGUGAAUGGACUCCCCUGCAGCAGAAAGAAACCAGACAUUCAGGAAGAGGUGGCUUUGUUUACACUGUCACUAAACACCUGUUGUUCCAUCAACAAGUUGCCCUGCAAGGUUGUUUUUCCUUUCACAUACGAAUGUUAAAAAAUUUACGAGGAUUUGCUAAUGUGGUUUGCCUCAUGAUUGGCUGGUUGGCUGGGGAGAAAUAGUGUUGUUGCUAUUGUUUUGUGAAUGCAGUGACUGAGUGUUCCCCACAGGUCCCCAGUGUCAUCUAACAGCAACUGAAAAGAGCAGAUCUUCAUUAUAAAAGUUAUUCUUUUUGAGCAGGAUUUUACAAAGUCAGACAGGCCAGAAAAAAAAUCGCUGACAUCAAACAAGACAAAAGCAAGAGGGAGAUAAAGAAGAAUCCUCCACCGAAAACCACAAAAACAACAUUAAGGCAAAUUGCUGACUACAGGCACCUGGUUGCUAUGAUGGGAUUUCCACUGAUGCAAUAUCAGCCAAGCCUAGCUCAUCUCUCUAGACCAAUCCCACCUUUGUGUUCCUGCUUAACACUUCAAUAGCCCACCCAUGCCACAACUUUUGAAACCCCCUCCAUCCUGCCUUCAUUGUAGUCAACCUGCUGUUGCCUUGGCCCAGAGACCCUCUGUUUGUUAAGAAGGUGGUCAUUAUAUUUCUUAUAGAUGAAUACAGCCCAUAUGUAGAGGGACUCACCACAGCAGAUGGGAAAACUAAAUGGGAAGCAGGCUAAUUAAGGCCUGAUGACACCCAAAUGACAUGUGUUGCCCUUUCUUCUGAGAUUACCCAAUUUAAAACAGAAAUACAUGGUGGGGAUUAAAUCUGUUGAACCAUGUAAACCAUAAGAUAAUGCCUCAUCAAGAUUUCCUUUGUGGUGGCAUUCUGUUCACAUCCAUUUCAUUAAAGAUAAAACACAUUUCUAAUGCUGUUACUUUCUAAACACAUAUCUUACAUCCCCAGAUCUUUCAGUUUAGAGUCACUGCUGGUUGUCUAUGUCAGUUCCCUUGUACAAACUGGACCAAAGCCAGUUUUGCAUCUUAGUUUGAUUUGAACAAAAGAGGUCAGGAAGGGACCUGAGCAUCACAGAGCAGCCUUGUCUCCUGCUGCAGGUACUGCAUCCGCUCAGUGAAUGCAAAGUUUUUUGCAUAGGAAAAUACGUGUGAAGUCUUUGGGAGUAGAGGAGUGCAACCCAUAAUUGGA